This 166-nucleotide non-coding RNA is filed under the name uncultured Prevotella sp. The record is from RNAcentral. Lineage: Bacteria; Pseudomonadati; Bacteroidota; Bacteroidia; Bacteroidales; Prevotellaceae.
CGUGGCGAUGCGGAAUCUGAAGGAAGCCGGAGACAAACAUUGGGUCUGACGUACAGAAACAUGAUACCAAGGCCAAAGUCUGUGGGUAAGGCUGCAAAACAAGCAUGAUUCCUAUAACUAUACGGAACAGACAUGGUAAAUCAUGCAGACAUACAAUGGAAAGAAU